RNAcentral lists this ribosomal RNA (153 nucleotides) under uncultured bacterium. RNAcentral describes it as "partial 16S ribosomal RNA". It matches the Rfam family "Bacterial small subunit ribosomal RNA", at positions 8 to 153 of the family's 1533-position model. The record is from RNAcentral.
AGAGUUUGAUCAUGGCUCAGGAUGAACGCUGGCGGCGUGCUUAACACAUGCAAGUCGAGCGGAGUGAAUCAAGAGCUUGCUUUUGAUUGACUUAGCGGCGGACGGGUGAGUAACGUGUGGGCAACCUGCCUCAUACAGGGGAAUAAUCACCGG